This 2904-nucleotide ribosomal RNA is filed under the name Escherichia coli. RNAcentral's name for it is "23S ribosomal RNA". It matches the Rfam family "Bacterial large subunit ribosomal RNA". Lineage: Bacteria; Pseudomonadati; Pseudomonadota; Gammaproteobacteria; Enterobacterales; Enterobacteriaceae. The record is from RNAcentral.
GGUUAAGCGACUAAGCGUACACGGUGGAUGCCCUGGCAGUCAGAGGCGAUGAAGGACGUGCUAAUCCGCGAUAAGCGUCGGUGAGGUGAUAUGAACCGUUAUAACCGGCGAUUUCCGAAUGGGGAAACCCAGUGUGUUUCGACACACUAUCAUUAACUGAAUCCAUAGGUUAAUGAGGCGAACCGGGGGAACUGAAACAUCUAAGUACCCCGAGGAAAAGAAAUCAACCGAGAUUCCCCCAGUAGCGGCGAGCGAACGGGGAGGAGCCCAGAGCCUGAAUCAGUGUGUGUGUUAGUGGAAGCGUCUGGAAAGGCGCGCGAUACAGGGUGACAGCCCCGUACACAAAAAUGCACAUAUUGUGAGCUCGAUGAGUAGGGCGGGACACGUGGUAUCCUGUCUGAAUAUGGGGGGACCAUCCUCCAAGGCUAAAUACUCCUGACUGACCGAUAGUGAACCAGUACCGUGAGGGAAAGGCGAAAAGAACCCCGGCGAGGGGAGUGAAAAAGAACCUGAAACCGUGUACGUACAAGCAGUGGGAGCCUCUUUAUGGGGUGACUGCGUACCUUUUGUAUAAUGGGUCAGCGACUUAUAUUCUGUAGCAAGGUUAACCGAAUAGGGGAGCCGAAGGGAAACCGAGUCUUAACUGGGCGUUAAGUUGCAGGGUAUAGACCCGAAACCCGGUGAUCUAGCCAUGGGCAGGUUGAAGGUUGGGUAACACUAACUGGAGGACCGAACCGACUAAUGUUGAAAAAUUAGCGGAUGACUUGUGGCUGGGGGUGAAAGGCCAAUCAAACCGGGAGAUAGCUGGUUCUCCCCGAAAGCUAUUUAGGUAGCGCCUCGUGAAUUCAUCUCCGGGGGUAGAGCACUGUUUCGGCAAGGGGGUCAUCCCGACUUACCAACCCGAUGCAAACUGCGAAUACCGGAGAAUGUUAUCACGGGAGACACACGGCGGGUGCUAACGUCCGUCGUGAAGAGGGAAACAACCCAGACCGCCAGCUAAGGUCCCAAAGUCAUGGUUAAGUGGGAAACGAUGUGGGAAGGCCCAGACAGCCAGGAUGUUGGCUUAGAAGCAGCCAUCAUUUAAAGAAAGCGUAAUAGCUCACUGGUCGAGUCGGCCUGCGCGGAAGAUGUAACGGGGCUAAACCAUGCACCGAAGCUGCGGCAGCGACACUAUGUGUUGUUGGGUAGGGGAGCGUUCUGUAAGCCUGUGAAGGUGGCCUGUGAGGGUUGCUGGAGGUAUCAGAAGUGCGAAUGCUGACAUAAGUAACGAUAAAGCGGGUGAAAAGCCCGCUCGCCGGAAGACCAAGGGUUCCUGUCCAACGUUAAUCGGGGCAGGGUGAGUCGACCCCUAAGGCGAGGCCGAAAGGCGUAGUCGAUGGGAAACAGGUUAAUAUUCCUGUACUUGGUGUUACUGCGAAGGGGGGACGGAGAAGGCUAUGUUGGCCGGGCGACGGUUGUCCCGGUUUAAGCGUGUAGGCUGGUUUUCCAGGCAAAUCCGGAAAACCAAGGCUGAGGCGUGAUGACGAGGCACUACGGUGCUGAAGCGACAAAUGCCCUGCUUCCAGGAAAAGCCUCUAAGCAUCAGGUAACAUCAAAUCGUACCCCAAACCGACACAGGUGGUCAGGUAGAGAAUACCAAGGCGCUUGAGAGAACUCGGGUGAAGGAACUAGGCAAAAUGGUGCCGUAACUUCGGGAGAAGGCACGCUGAUAUGUAGGUGAAGCGACUUGCUCGUGGAGCUGAAAUCAGUCGAAGAUACCAGCUGGCUGCAACUGUUUAUUAAAAACACAGCACUGUGCAAACACGAAAGUGGACGUAUACGGUGUGACGCCUGCCCGGUGCCGGAAGGUUAAUUGAUGGGGUUAGCGGUAACGCGAAGCUCUUGAUCGAAGCCCCGGUAAACGGCGGCCGUAACUAUAACGGUCCUAAGGUAGCGAAAUUCCUUGUCGGGUAAGUUCCGACCUGCACGAAUGGCGUAAUGAUGGCCAGGCUGUCUCCACCCGAGACUCAGUGAAAUUGAACUCGCUGUGAAGAUGCAGUGUACCCGCGGCAAGACGGAAAGACCCCGUGAACCUUUACUAUAGCUUGACACUGAACAUUGAGCCUUGAUGUGUAGGAUAGGUGGGAGGCUUUGAAGUGUGGACGCCAGUCUGCAUGGAGCCGACCUUGAAAUACCACCCUUUAAUGUUUGAUGUUCUAACGUUGGCCCGUAAUCCGGGUUGCGGACAGUGUCUGGUGGGUAGUUUGACUGGGGCGGUCUCCUCCUAAAGAGUAACGGAGGAGCACGAAGGUUGGCUAAUCCUGGUCGGACAUCAGGAGGUUAGUGCAAUGGCAUAAGCCAGCUUGACUGCGAGCGUGACGGCGCGAGCAGGUGCGAAAGCAGGUCAUAGUGAUCCGGUGGUUCUGAAUGGAAGGGCCAUCGCUCAACGGAUAAAAGGUACUCCGGGGAUAACAGGCUGAUACCGCCCAAGAGUUCAUAUCGACGGCGGUGUUUGGCACCUCGAUGUCGGCUCAUCACAUCCUGGGGCUGAAGUAGGUCCCAAGGGUAUGGCUGUUCGCCAUUUAAAGUGGUACGCGAGCUGGGUUUAGAACGUCGUGAGACAGUUCGGUCCCUAUCUGCCGUGGGCGCUGGAGAACUGAGGGGGGCUGCUCCUAGUACGAGAGGACCGGAGUGGACGCAUCACUGGUGUUCGGGUUGUCAUGCCAAUGGCACUGCCCGGUAGCUAAAUGCGGAAGAGAUAAGUGCUGAAAGCAUCUAAGCACGAAACUUGCCCCGAGAUGAGUUCUCCCUGAGACUUAGAGUCUCCUGAAGGAACGUUGAAGACGACGACGUUGAUAGGCCGGGUGUGUAAGCGCAGCGAUGCGUUGAGCUAACCGGUACUAAUGAACCGUGAGGCUUAACCUU